AACUUCCAUUUUGGUUCCACUCACUGCCAUAAAAAUGCCGCUGUGAUUGCAGACGCCAAAACUUGAAUGUCUUGCCAGGAACUUCCUUUUGUAUAUAUGAGACCAUAUUCUCAAGAACAACUUUAAAUCCAUCAAACAAACCAAGGGAAGGAAGUAUCUGUUGGCCAGCAUGAUAAAAAACAAAAGGUGUGUCAUUUGGAAAUUUGUCAUGACCCCACCUAUUCCAGAUGAAAUAAUAUAAUUUAAAGAUGCAUUUAGACACGUCAAAUGCAUAACAAGAAAGAAAAAGCAAAAUAGCAGAUCUGCCAGUACAAGGAUGCAAAAAAGUGAAAAUAAUUAAUCUUAACCUAAUUCUUUGCUCACACAUGGUUGAGCAUUUCAGAUUCCCUUUACAAAUAUUCCUCUUUCAUUUGGUAUUCAUUUCCCUCAACUUCCAGCUAGCAUGCUUCUAGCAUUCUACUAUUCCCUUUACACAUAAUAGACCUUUGCAUCAUUGUAACUAGAUCAUUCUGCACACAUAUCACAUAAUGUUUUAACAGUCAUCCUACUAGUAUUUUAUCAUAAAUGUCCUCAGAUAUUUUCCCAAUUUCUUCUGAGCUCAUAAUUUGAAUACACCACAAUUACAUGGGCAUUUUGUUAAUGCAUCAAAAGUAAAUGCCAUAUGUGAAAGUAGAAUGAAAACUUUAUUUUUUAAAUACCUUUUGAUAAGCAAUAAUUUUUCUGAGUUAUAUCAGGUAAUAAGCCAAUUUUCAUUUCUGGGAAUUAUACUUUGAGUCUCCAGAGCAAAAACUAAGUUAAAACCAUGUAGUUACAUAAAGUGAAACCUAGAUGGUUGUAAACUACUUGUGAAAAUACUUGUAUGUUUUUCUUGAAUUGUUAGAUUUAGAAUAAAUGAAUAUUGUGUCAAGCUCUACCAAAUUAAAGGAACACACUACGGCUGUGGAAUACAGGCAAGAGAAUUAAUGUCCAAAAGAGAAAGAGGACAAUGAGAGUUGAGAAACAGCAAUACAAAAUAAUAGUGAUUGACAAGGACAAGAACAUUGCAAUACAAGACAAGAACAUUGCAAUACAAGACUCCUUACCUGUGAGUUUUACAUAAGAAUGUAAGACUAUAGACAUAUCUAGUCGUCCCUGAGUGUUCCAAAUCAUGUCAUAAACCAAGCCACCAUUUUUUUUUUCAAUGAAUCUGCAAUAAUGCAGAUGAAAUGCCAAAGCAUUAAAAGGUGAAAGAAUCAGUUCAUUAGAGAGGAAAUUACCAAUGCCCAGUAUUAAAUAUGAGAACAUCAUAAAAAUGAUUGACGGUGGGUCAUUCAUCUGCAGGUGCGUCAUCAUCGACGCGAUAUGUUUCCUUCUAUCCAUCAUUCGCAAGUGCAACUGUUUUGGGUGCCACCUUUAUUUGAUCAGUGAUGAGCAAGUGAGGUUGUCAUUUUCAAUAUUUAAAAAGGAGAAAGAAAAAAGUGAUAACAUUGUAUUCCGGUAGAAGGGAGCCAUAAGAUUCCAACAAAAUGCAUUCAGGACCAAGAAGUGCA
This 1529-nucleotide unclassified non-coding RNA is filed under the name Hevea brasiliensis (rubber tree). Lineage: Eukaryota; Viridiplantae; Streptophyta; Magnoliopsida; Malpighiales; Euphorbiaceae. The record is from RNAcentral.